CCUACGGGUGGCUGCAGUGGGGAAUAUUGGACAAUGGGGGGAACCCUGAUCCAGCCAUGCCGCGUGUGUGAAGAAGGCCCUCGGGUUGUAAAGCACUUUCAGUGAGGAAGAACGCCUGGUGGUUAAUACCCAUCAGGAAAGACAUCACUCACAGAAGAAGCACCGGCUAACUCCGUGCCAGCAGCCGCGGUAAUACGGAGGGUGCGAGCGUUAAUCGGAAUUACUGGGCGUAAAGCGCGCGUAGGUGGCUUGAUAAGCCGGUUGUGAAAGCCCCGGGCUCAACCUGGGAACGGCAUCCGGAACUGUCAAGCUAGGGUGCAGGAGAGGAAGGUAGAAUUCCCGGUGUAGCGGUGAAAUUCGUAGAGAUCGGGAGGAAUACCAGUGGCGAAGGCGGCCUUCUGGACUGACACUGACACUGAGGUGCGAAAGCGUGGGUAGCAAACAGGAUUAGAUACCCCGGUAGUC
This 465-nucleotide ribosomal RNA is filed under the name Vreelandella stevensii. RNAcentral describes it as "partial 16S ribosomal RNA". It matches the Rfam family "Bacterial small subunit ribosomal RNA", at positions 338 to 795 of the family's 1533-position model. Lineage: Bacteria; Pseudomonadati; Pseudomonadota; Gammaproteobacteria; Oceanospirillales; Halomonadaceae. The record is from RNAcentral.